Molecule: long non-coding RNA, 679 nt
Filed under: Numida meleagris (helmeted guineafowl)
Lineage: Eukaryota; Metazoa; Chordata; Aves; Galliformes; Numididae
Description: lncRNA (ENSNMEG00000002902.1)
Source: RNAcentral
ACACUUAACCAUGAGAAGUACAGUGUUCGCACCGAGACAUUGCACUUGCAGACCCUACACCUACACCGUAGCACUGCCACCCCCAUCCCUCUCCCUCCCAUCUUCAGGGCACCACUUUCAAGCUAGCUCUGCAGCUCUGGAAGUUGAUGGCUCGAAGAAAGAAGGCCCUCAGACCCAACUUAGUUUACUGGCUGCCCUAAUAGCUCUGUGGCUGUGGGACUUGACAGCUGGAAGAAGGUAGGCCUUCGGACCGCUGCAGGUUGGGCAUGGAGCGGCUCUGUGAUGGGUGCAGUGGAGCACGUGGAUCGUGCCGGCAGGUGCACUUGGUGAGUUUUUCUAGUGCUGCUGAGCAUGCAGACUUCCCCACAUGCCCCAGUUGUGCCCGGAUCUCCAAACUCCUUUGCAUCAUUGUGUCUCACAGCGCCAGGCAUCUCUCUGCGGUGCUGCCGGUGGCAGCGGAGAACUGUGGUGUAAGAACUACAGGGAGAUCAGUGGCUCUUCAUGAAGUCAUCAAGAAACGGGAAGCUGCAUUUCCUGGAAUGGCCCAGAACCCAUCUUGUCUGUCCGGUGACAACUCUGAACAUGCACUGGGACCCUGCACUUGCAGACCCUACACAUAUGCUGUAGCACUGCUGCCCCGUCCCCUCUCCCUCCCGUUUCCCUGGCACCAUUUCCAAGC